UGAGGAAUAUUGGUCAAUGGUCGCAAGUCUGAACCAGCCAAGUAGCGUGCAGGAUGACGGCCCUAUGGGUUGUAAACUGCUUUUAUAUGGGGAUAAAGUGGGGAACGUGUUCCCUUUUGCAGGUACCAUAUGAAUAAGGACCGGCUAAUUCCGUGCCAGCAGCCGCGGUAAUACGGAAGGUUCGGGCGUUAUCCGGAUUUAUUGGGUUUAAAGGGAGCGUAGGCCGUUUGGUAAGCGUGUUGUGAAAUGUAGGAGCUCAACUUCUAGAUUGCAGCGCGAACUGUCAGACUUGAGUGCGCACAACGUAGGCGGAAUUCAUGGUGUAGCGGUGAAAUGCUUAGAUAUCAUGAAGAACUCCGAUUGCGAAGGCAGCUUACGGGAGCGCAACUGACGCUGAAGCUCGAAGGUGCGGGUAUCGAACAGG
This 424-nucleotide ribosomal RNA is filed under the name Verrucomicrobiota bacterium. Its description in RNAcentral is "Verrucomicrobia bacterium partial 16S ribosomal RNA". It matches the Rfam family "Bacterial small subunit ribosomal RNA", at positions 355 to 776 of the family's 1533-position model. Lineage: Bacteria; Pseudomonadati; Verrucomicrobiota. The record is from RNAcentral.